CCUACGGGUGGCAGCAGUGGGGAAUAUUGGUCAAUGGACGAGAGUCUGAACCAGCCAAGUAGCGUGAAGGAUGACUGCCCUAUGGGUUGUAAACUUCUUUUAAGGGGGAAGAGCAGAAGACGGUACCCCUUGAAUAAGCCACGGCUAACUACGUGCCAGCAGCCGCGGUAAUACGUAGGUGGCAAGCGUUGUCCGGAUUUACUGGGUGUAAAGGGCGUGCAGCCGGAGAGACAAGUCAGAUGUGAAAUCCGCAGGCUCAACCUGCGAACUGCAUUUGAAACUGUUUCCCUUGAGUAUCGGAGAGGUCAUCGGAAUUCCUAGUGUAGCGGUGAAAUGCGUAGAUAUUAGGAAGAACACCAGUGGCGAAGGCGGAUGACUGGACGACAACUGACGGUGAGGCGCGAAAGCGUGGGGAGCAAACAGGAUUAGAUACCCCUGUAGUC
RNAcentral lists this ribosomal RNA (443 nucleotides) under uncultured bacterium. Its description in RNAcentral is "partial 16S ribosomal RNA". It matches the Rfam family "Bacterial small subunit ribosomal RNA", at positions 338 to 795 of the family's 1533-position model. The record is from RNAcentral.